GGGGGUGAAAGGGUUCGACUUAAGAUAUGUCGGAUAAGAGCAGCAUGCCGCGGACGCAUGGUUAGCCGCGUUAACAAUCCUUGCACAAUCUAAACGCAAACACACCAGUGUUCACAAACCGACUGGCAAUGGUACCGGGUUUUCAACCGGUGGCAUUUCCGGCUGGUUGCGUACCAGCCUUACCUCACUAGCUGAGGUAAGCCCCUAACUGUCCUGCCUACGGGAUAGAUUAGGGCUCAAGUAGGAUAGCUCCGGUGAGUUAGCCUUCUAAACCGGGGCGAAAUUCGAAAAGGCUGCGCUUUGUAAAUCCUGCCGGGUGGGAGUUACAAGGGCUAAGAUAAAUCAUCAGGCUAAGCAUGUAGCGGCUUUUAUGCGAUUACUUAAGGACCCCGGUUCAAUUCCGGGCACCUCCACCA
This 416-nucleotide transfer-messenger RNA is filed under the name Candidatus Omnitrophica bacterium CG11_big_fil_rev_8_21_14_0_20_43_6. It matches the Rfam family "transfer-messenger RNA". Rfam says of the family: Bacterial tmRNA, also known as 10Sa RNA or SsrA, is named for its dual tRNA and mRNA-like properties. Its role is to liberate the mRNA from a stalled ribosome. To accomplish this part of the tmRNA is used as a reading frame that ends in a translation stop signal. The record is from RNAcentral. Lineage: Bacteria; Pseudomonadati; Candidatus Omnitrophota.